This 59-nucleotide microRNA precursor is filed under the name Drosophila melanogaster (fruit fly). Its description in RNAcentral is "microRNA dme-mir-4916 precursor". The record is from miRBase by way of RNAcentral. Lineage: Eukaryota; Metazoa; Arthropoda; Insecta; Diptera; Drosophilidae.
GUGGGUGUUCUUGGAAAUUCGCCUCGAUCGGUAGCUAAAUUUCUGAUUACUCCUAAAAG